GAUGAACGCUGGCGGCGUGCCUAAUACAUGCAAGUCGAGCGAACAGACGAGGAGCUUGCUCCUCUGACGUUAGCGGCGGACGGGUGAGUAACACGUGGAUAACCUACCUAUAAGACUGGGAUAACUUCGGGAAACCGGAGCUAAUACCGGAUAAUAUAUUGAACCGCAUGGUUCAAUAGUGAAAGACGGGUUUGCUGUCACUUAUAGAUGGAUCCGCGCCGCAUUAGCUAGUUGGUAAGGUAACGGCUUACCAAGGCAACGAUGCGUAGCCGACCUGAGAGGGUGAUCGGCCACACUGGAACUGAGACACGGUCCAGACUCCUACGGGAGGCAGCAGUAGGGAAUCUUCCGCAAUGGGCGAAAGCCUGACGGAGCAACGCCGCGUGAGUGAUGAAGGUCUUCGGAUCGUAAAACUCUGUUAUUAGGGAAGAACAAAUGUGUAAGUAACUAUGCACGUCUUGACGGUACCUAAUCAGAAAGCCACGGCUAACUACGU
This 496-nucleotide ribosomal RNA is filed under the name uncultured bacterium. RNAcentral's name for it is "partial 16S ribosomal RNA". It matches the Rfam family "Bacterial small subunit ribosomal RNA", at positions 28 to 506 of the family's 1533-position model. The record is from RNAcentral.